CGCCCGGUCAAUAUAUUUGAAGAACAAGUCGAAGAAGAAGACCGUACAACAGCUGGUUUUUUCGCCGUCGAUUUUAUUAUGGAAUGCGAUGAAGUAUGUAAUUGUGUAAUUGUUGCUUAAAUAGUGUAAUUUCUAAACUAUUAGUUCAAUUGACUCUAAUUUUUAAAAUACAACGUCAGCUGCAUAACGUCAUCAUCCAAAUCUAUUAAGACGUUCAACUGUUAUCUUCGCUACCAGAGGUGCCGGAACUCGCAUUGCCAGAAGUGUCAAAGUCCGUCGAGGUGGGGGCACCGGUGGCGGUGGCGGUGGCGGCGGAACCGGAGGUUCCGACGAAAGAGAAGGCGGCGGAGGAAAGAAAGGCAGCAGAACCGGUGGCGGCGGCGGAGGAAAGAAAGGCAGCAGAACCGAUGGCGGCUGCGGAACCGGUGGCGGUGGCGGAAUCGGAGACGACGGGGGCACCAUUGGCGGCGGCAGAAUCGAAAGUUCUGGCGGAAGAUGAGGAGGCGGAAAGGGAGGCGGCGGAAUCGGUGGCAGCGGAACCAAAAGCAUAGGCGGAACCGGAGGUAGAGAGGGGU
RNAcentral lists this long non-coding RNA (575 nucleotides) under Ananas comosus (pineapple). RNAcentral's name for it is "long non-coding RNA (ACOM_LNC033325)". Lineage: Eukaryota; Viridiplantae; Streptophyta; Magnoliopsida; Poales; Bromeliaceae. The record is from RNAcentral.